Molecule: small RNA, 128 nt
Filed under: Marmota monax (woodchuck)
Lineage: Eukaryota; Metazoa; Chordata; Mammalia; Rodentia; Sciuridae
Source: RNAcentral
GCAGGAUGCAGUGGCGCACACCUGUAAUCCCAGCUACCCUGGAGGCUGGGGUAGGAGGAUCACAAGUUCAAGGCCAGCCUCAGCAAUUUUAGCAAGGCCCUAAGCAAUUUAGUGAGACCCUGUCUCAA